Molecule: ribosomal RNA, 253 nt
Filed under: uncultured bacterium
Lineage: Bacteria
Description: partial 16S ribosomal RNA
Rfam family: Bacterial small subunit ribosomal RNA
Source: RNAcentral
UACGUAGGGUGCAAGCGUUAAUCGGAAUUACUGGGCGUAAAGCGUGCGCAGGCGGUCCGUUAAGACAGAUGUGAAAUCCCCGGGCUUAACCUGGGAACUGCAUUUGUGACUGCACGGCUAGAGUGUGUCAGAGGGGGGUAGAAUUCCACGUGUAGCAGUGAAAUGCGUAGAUAUGUGGAGGAAUACCGAUGGCGAAGGCAGCCCCCUGGGAUAACACUGACGCUCAUGCACGAAAGCGUGGGGAGCAAACAGG